UCUACAUUGUCUUCAUAGACCUGACGAAGGUGUUCGACACAGUGAACAGGGACGCAUUGUGGGUGAUCCUCAGCAAGCUGGUUGCCCAGCAAAAUUUGUCAAACUGAUCCAGCUCUUUCAUGUCGACAUGACAGGGGAAGUCCUAUCUGGUGGAGAGACUUCCGAUCGCUUCAACAUCUCCAAUGGCGUGAAACAAGGCUGCGUCCUUGCUCCGGUGCUAUUCAACCUAUACUUCACCCAAGUAUUACAACAUGCUGUGAUGGAUCUAGACCUGGGCGUCUACAUAAAAUACCAACUGGAUGGCUCACUAUUCGACCUUCGCUGCCUGACUGCAAAAACAAAGACAACAGAGAGACUCAUCCUGGAAGCUCUCUUUGCAGAUGACUGUGCUCUCAUGGCCCACCAAGAAAAUCAUCUUCAAACCAUUGUGGACAGGUUCUCCACCGCUACAAAAUUGUUUGGCCUGACUAUCAGCCUCAGCAAAACAGAGGUGCUGUUCCAACCUGCACCAGGGAGGCCAACUAACCAGCUGUGCAUUACAAUCAACGGCACUCAGCUUUCUAAAGUCAACACUUUCAAGUACCUGGGCAGCACCAUCGCCAACGACAGGUCCCUAGACCAUGAGAUUAAUGCCAGGAUCCAAAAGGCCAGCCAGGCACUUGGGCGGCUGCGCUGCAAAGUCCUCCAACACAGAGGUAUAAGCACUGCGACGAAGCUCAAAGUGUAUAACGCAGUGGUCCUCAGCUCGCUCCUGUACGGUUGUGAGACAUGGACACUGUACUGGAAGCACAUGAAACAGCUGGAGCAAUUCCACCAAUGCUCCCUCCGGUCAAUCAUGAGGAUCUGAUGGCAGGACUGAAUCACCAGUCAGGAAGUCCUCGACAGAGCCAACUCCACCAGCAUCGAAAUCAUGGUCCUCAAAACCCAGCUACGAUGGUCUGGACACGUCAUCCAAAUGGACCCACAGCGAAUACCAAGACAGGUAUUCUACAGUGAACUGUCA
Molecule: long non-coding RNA, 1003 nt
Filed under: Monodelphis domestica (gray short-tailed opossum)
Lineage: Eukaryota; Metazoa; Chordata; Mammalia; Didelphimorphia; Didelphidae
Description: lncRNA (ENSMODG00000048613.1)
Source: RNAcentral